UUGCUGGUGUGGUAUCAACUUGGGGGGGUGGGAGUGUAUAUGGCGUAACUAAAGGUACCCUUUUAUUUUCCUUGAAAUACAUAUUCCAUAAAUUGAUUGGAGGUUAAAUGUUGCCGUGGAUCGAUCUCUUCUUUAUUCAAUUUAGGAGCAAUGAAUCAAUUGGCCAAAAACUUGGCUUGUGAGUGGGCAAAAGACAACAUUAGGAUCAACAGUGUUGCACCUUGGGUCGUCAGAACCCCUCUUGCUGAACCUGUAAGAUACAUUCAUAGAUGAAUGAUUUCGAAUGUGCAAAUUAACCUAAUUGAUUUAGAGGUACGGUACUGAUUUUUAUUUUUCAAAUGCAGAUGUUCACUGACGACGGAAAGUCGUUACUGGAGGCUGUCAUAUCUCGAACCCCAUUGGGACGUAUAGGAGAGCCUGAAGAGGUGUCUGCCUUGGUGGCGUUUCUAUGCCUUCCUGCAGCCUCAUACAUAACAGGCCAGACUUUUUGCGUCGAUGGAGGGAUGACUAUCAAUGGCUUCCAGUUUCAAGCAUUAUGCUGAGUAGGCCUCAUCAUGGGCCGGGCUAGGGCCGGCCCUAUCCUAAAUUUUAGGGCUUAGGGUAGGGUCAGGAAGGUCUUUGAUUUGGUCAACAAUAUUUAGGGCUGGGUAGGAUCGGACCGGGGCUCAAAUAUGUAAGCCCUUGCCCGCCCUUAAAGCCCAUUUUGCUAGGGCUAAUAAGGCCGGCCCUGAAUAGGGCUAAAUAGGGCUGAAAGGGCCGAAUAUGUCGUUAUUUUGUUUAACGAAAUAAAUUCAUGAGUUUUAAUUUUUUUCCCUCAACAAUUACCUCAAAGGAUAUAUGUGAUACAAGACCCUAUUUUUAGUCAUAUUUAACAUACAUAUACAUUAUAUUUAACUUAAGACAUCUAUAAUUAUUAAUCUAAGUAGUUAUAUUCAUAUAUUUCAUUAACUAUAUCUCUAAAUCACCAAAAAUCAAUCGUUAUUUAACAAAAAAAAAAACAAAUUAAAGAAAUAAAACUUACAAGAUUAGUUGUAUUGUACAAAAAUAAGAAACAUAUUAAAAAAAUUAGAAAAUAAGUAAUUAUUAAGGCCUAAAGGACGGACUUUUAGGGCCGGGCCGGGUUUGACCCUAAAUGGCUCAAUAGGGUAGGGUCGUAGGGUAGGGCCGGGUUUCAUUUGCUUGACCCUUGCCCUACCCUAAUUGAAAAGGGUUAGGGCCGGUCAGCCCUAACGGAGGGCCGAGUAGGGCUUCGGCCCUAUAGGGUAGGACGGGUUUUAGAGCGGGGUAGGGCCAAAUGAUGAGGCCUGUUGAGAUUUGCAUAUGCAAGACUGCUCAAGAUAAUGGCUUAAUUUAACCUAAUUUGCCAACUAGCUAGCUAUGUACACGUAAACCUCAUCUAUCCUUGAUUGAUUGGCCAUCAAUAAUUUGGUGGAAGAUAAUCGAGAUAUUGUUCGUCUUCAUGCGUACGUGCAUAUCUUUUUUUGUGGGUCUGAAAUCUUUAGCUUUCACAGUUGGCUUGGUGAUCAGUAUUGGAAAACCAUAUCAUUUGUCAUUAUUGAUCAUUGGUCAUUGCAACAAUGAAAAAGAUGGUGUUGAUGAAGUAGCAUGAGGUUCACAUCUAAAAUCAAUUGAUAAUAGAUGAAGUUGCUCAAACUCUUAUAAAUCCACAGACAAUGUCUCAUAUUCUUGAUGUGAGAUUGAUAUCUCAAUAGAUGCAUUGAUAAAGUUUGAACAAGCAAAUUCGCUAAGAUUAAUCCACUGAGUCAUAUGCAAUAAAGUUGGUCCGACAUAUGCAAUAAAUUUAAAAUAAUUAUACACACACGUAUAGUCAUAAAGUUGAUCAGAAGCUCUAUUUAUACCCUUUUCGUAUUUGCAUAUGUCUUCAAAAUUUGGCCAUCGAGAUAGAAAAGAAAGAAACAGCUAGAGAAGGCUGAGCAAAUCGAUCAAGUAAAUAUUCAUGUUAGCAAACACACCAUAGAUAGAAGAUGGUCGCUUGAAGGAAUGACUGCUCUUGUCACUGGUGGAACUAAAGGCAUCGGGUUAGUCGAUCUUCUUCUUCAAUAAUCUCACUAGGGUUUCAUUUGUAUUCAAACUCUAAUCUUUUGAGUCAUGAAUUUCAGUGUGCAUCAAACAACGCUGUCUUUCAUAUAUCUGAAAUAUAGUUUUGUUUUAAUUUUUAUACCAAAGAAUCACAUAUUGACAUAUACAAAAUACAAUAAUAUAGUUUUACGACCUCAUGUAUGUCAUCGUUAUUUAAAUGUGCUAUUGUGGAGGACUUGGCGAGGCUAGGUGCAAAGGUCCAUACUUGUGCUCGGAAUGAAGUCCAACUCAAUGAGCGAUUGAGUCAAUGGAAGACCAAGGGUUUUAAAGUCACUGGUUCGGUCUGUGAUUUGGUCUCAAAGCCCCAACAAGAGGAGCUCAUGUACAAGGUCUCAUCAUUGUUCGAUAUAUGGGAAACUAAACAUCCUUGUAACUAUUCCAUUUCUAUCUAACACUACUAGUGUUUACCUGGUCAGUUAGUGAUUCAUGUUCAAUCACUAUUAUUUUAUAAGUGUCCAAACGUACUUGUAAUUGAUUAUCCAUUUCCCAAUUUUUGGCUGAACAAAUAAACAAUGCGGGAACCAAUAUAUGAAAGCCCACAACUGACUACACAGCUGAAGAUUACUCAUUUCUUAUGGGAACCAAUCUUGAAUCUUCUUAUAGUAUGUGCCAACUCGCACAUCCUCUCCUCAAAGCUUCAGGAGCUGGUAAAAUUGUUCUUAUAUCAUCUAUUGCUGGUGUGGUAUCAGUUGGGGGAUGUGAUAGUAUCUACUCUGCCAGUAAAGGUCUUUUUCCAAAACCUAGUUGUUUACUUUCGAAUUAAUAUUAAGUAUUUUGUUAUGAUAAAUUGAAGGUUAAGAUCUAUGGAUCUUCUCCACUUUAUUUCAGGAGCAAUUAACCAAUUGGCAAAAGUCUUGGCUUGCGAGUGGCGAAAAGACAAGAUUAGGAUCAACAGUGUUUCACCUGGGUUCAUACGAACUCCCUUGACUGAAGAUGUAAUACCAGUGCUUCAUUUCUUUCGGGCAUUUCUUAGUCUUGCCGAGAAUUCAUUUUGCCUUACGUUUUUGUUAUAUAUCUGGAUCCUCUGCUUGUCAUGUAUUUACUUUGUUUAUCUUUGUUUUUUACAUUUCAGAUUCUCAAUGUUGAGAUAUGAAUCUCACAUCGGGAAUAUGAGACCUUGUAUGUAGGUUUAUAAGGGUUUGAGCCACUCCACCCAUUGCCAAUUAGUUUUGGAUGUGAACCUCAGACUACUUUAUCAUGGUAUCAGAGCAAGUUACCCACAUCCACAUGUGAAGCCCAAAGGUCACACGCACUCCAUUUUACCCAAAAUGUUGUCCAUGUGUUAGGCUUGUAAAUUCGUCAUACGUGCGGGGGCGUGUUGAGAUAUGAAUCCCACAUCGGGAAUAUGAGACAUUGCCUGUGGGUUUAUAAGGGUUUGGGCCACUCCACCCAUUGCCAAUUGGUUUUGGAUGUGAACCCCAGACUACUUUAUCACUCAAUAACCAAACAAUGCUUAAGGCUAUUAACACUCGAACACCUUUAGGACGCCCUGGUGAGCCGGAAGAGAUUUCUUCCUUUGUGACAUUUUUGUGCAUCCCUGCAGCUUCAUACAUAACUGGGCAGACUAUUUGCAUUGACGGAGGGAUGACUGGUAAUGGCGUAAGCUUAUGUCGUCAAGGUUAGCACGUCCUUGAAUUCGAAACAGCCAAAUUUGUUGUCACAGUACAUUUUUAAUAUCAAUGGAUAGUCCAUAAUAAUGUCAUAAAUUAAGCUCAACUUCAUACAUUGCAUCUUCGUUGUCUAAGGUUUAAUUAGGUGAACUUACCUAUCUGCCUCAGUUAAAUCUAUGUUAGUCACAAAAGAACUUGACAUCAUGCCAUCAUGCUUUCCUGCAAGCUACGGAGGCAAAGGGUGCGAAAAAAUCAAAGAGGUUGCUUGUAGGGGGUUUGUCUACUAUGGUGAUCGGUAUGCUAUACUUACCCCAAAGAUGUUGUUGUGCAUGUGCUUACAAGAGGGUGGUGGGGUAGGAAUGUUGAAGAAACUUUGCCUAAGAAUUGAAUAUAGCAUACCCAUCACUAUAGUUAGUAGAAUUUUCCCGCUUAUAUGAGGUGUGCUCCGACCAAGUCUCUGACUAACUGCCUCUUCUAUCACUGAUAGAUGAGAUUUUAAAGUAUAGUGAAUAAUGAUUAUCAAUGUUAAUCUAUUUUAUUUUGACAUCGGUUUUGAAUUUGGUUUUUUAAAGCAUAUUUAGCAACGUUAAACAUUUUUAAGUUAAAGUUUAGUCAAAUUAGCUAAAAUGUCAUUUUGGCUAGCCACUUUAGAAAUACUGAUGCAUCAAUGCUCUUUAUUUUAGCUAGAUUACAUCAACUAAUGAAGGAUAAAGUGUAGAGACAAAGAGAUAGUAAGAGAAUUAUCUUCUUAUUCAUUGAUAGGAUCCAUUUAUAUAGGGAAUUACACAAUACUAAUAUGGUAAGGAUAUGAAUACAUAGAUAUAGUCUAACUACAUAUUCUAUUGACAUAAGGCCAAGACACACAUAAAGAAUAUCUAGAAAGAUACAGAAUAUCCUAGAACUCAACAUUAUUCUUUAAAUAAAAAUUAAAUAGUUCAAAUAUACUUAUCUAGAGAAAUUUUGAUAAAUGACCUAUUUUUUAGGUGUGAAUUGAUUUUUGACCGUGUUUCUCUAAAGAAUUGAAAAAUAACCAUAUAAAGGAAGCAAAGGUCCCAAAUACCCUUAGCUGAAUUUAUCUCUUUGUAAAUUUUCUUCAUCGUUGAAUCAGAUCGGAUCAAGGACUAUAUUCACACAGAACUUUUUAGGGCUCUUGCUAGCACUCAUCGAUCUCCUCCAAAAGGGCCAUCUUCAAUUGUGUAUAUAUGGAGUGUCGAAUCCGUCCUGUGUUGUUUGACUCAUGAAUUUUUCUUACUCUUUUGUUAACAAAAAAAAGUCUGAGAAUAGAAUGCUGAUAUGAACACGUUCAUGUUUGAUUAGUUUGUCGUAAAACCAAUGAAAUUCCCAUCACAUGGAUUGAAUGAUACCUGAAUAACAUACAAUGAUCCCUCACUAAAGAUUUAGGAUCCAAAUUUUGAUCAUUUAGUGGUUACAUGUUUUCUUUUCUGUUUUUUCUUCUAAACAAAUGGUGACUUGUUUAUGUUCACUCUCAGAAUUUAGGCACCCAAAUUUUGUUUAAUAUGUAAUUGCAAAUCAAGUGAUGCCGAUUACUUCUCUGGUAUUCAGGCUUUAGCCUUUAUCGUUUAAUCAAUUUAACUUCUGUGUCCAGCAAUUGUACUACAUACCGGAGCAAUGGACUUGGAAGAUCUGUUCGGGCCUUGGGGAAUCAGAAGGGAUGAAAGCUUUUUCGUUAAAUCAGAAAGUUGGUGUAUAUAGUAUAUGAAUGUACACUGUUAAGUCUAAAACUUAAUGUCAUUUUCUGUGUUACUUCUUGCCCUUCUCUCCAAUUUUCCCAGUAGAUAUUUUGGUGUAUUACAUUUCUGUGGACAGAAACAAAUUUGACAUGCAGCCCCAGACAUAUUUGAAGCAAACAACGACGAUGACUUGCCUAAUCUUUCAGACCAAUGAAAUACAAAACGAUUACCUCAUCUUGAAUCCUCGACAUCAAUCACCAGUCCUCUACUUUCAUAUUGCUGCAAGUAACAGCAGAGAGAGAUGGCUCAAAAUGGCGGAGGCAGAAGAUGGUCUCUUGAAGGAGUGACUGCUCUUGUCACUGGUGGAACCAAAGGGAUUGGGUUAGUCGAUCGCUCAUUAUCCUGCACACAAAUUUAGUGCUUUAGCUAGACCAUCUUCUACGAGUAGCUUACUAGGAGAUGUUUUGCUUCUAGGUAUGCAAUUGUGGAGGAAUUGGCUGGACUAGGUGCAAGUGUAUACACUUGUUCUCGAAAUGAAGCCCAGCUCCAUGAAUGCUUGAAUCAAUGGAAGAAGAAGGGUUAUCAUCAAGUCACUGGUUCAGUCUGUGAUGUGGCCUCAAAAAUCCAGAGAGAGGAGCUAAUACACAAGGUCUCAUCACUGUUUCAUGGGAAACUUAACAUCCUUGUAAGUACUUUAAUCAUCAAUAUACACAAGUUCAGUACUAAUAGCAUGGUAGUUUGCGACAAAUGUAUCCUGUUUACUUCUACAUCAUCAAAAUUUGUAAGGUUUUCAUAAAAAAUGAGUACACAAGUCUAAUACUCGAUCGUAUGAUGAUGGGUUUAUCGAGGCUAUAAUGACAGACCACCUGAGAUUAGUUAAGAGAAGAUAUAAGAAGAGAAUCAAAUCUACUUGUUAAUCUAUAUAUAUCGACCUUGUAGGUAAACAAUGUUGGAACUACUCACGGACCAACGCCAACAACUGAGUGCACCGCUGAAGAGUACUCAUCCAUAAUGAAUACCAAUCUUGAAUCUACUUACAAUUUGUGCCAACUAGCACAUCCUCUUCUCAAAACUUCAGGAGCUGGUAACAUUGUUUUUAUGUCUUCUGUUGCUGGUGUGGUAUCAAUUUGGGGGGGUGGGAGUGUAUAUGGCGCAACUAAAGGUACCACUUUUAUUUUCCUUGAAAUACAUAUUCCAUAAAUUGAUUGAAGGUUAAAUGUUGCGGCGGAUUCAAUUUAGGAGCAAUGAAUCAAUUGGCCAAAAACUUGGCUUGUGAGUGGGCAAAAGACAACAUUAGGAUCAACAGUGUUGCACCUUGGGUCAUCAGAACCCCUCUUGUUGAACCUGUAAGAUACAUUCAUAGAUGAAUGAUUUCGAAUGUGCAAAUUAACCUAAUUGAUUCACAGGUACGGUACUGAUUUUUAUUUGUCAAAUGCAGAUUUUGAAUGACGACGUAAAGAUAAUGGAGGCUGUCAUAUCUCGAACCCCAUUGGGACGUAUAGGAGAGCCUGAAGAGGUGU
RNAcentral lists this long non-coding RNA (6921 nucleotides) under Fragaria vesca (wild strawberry). Its description in RNAcentral is "long non-coding RNA (FVES_LNC001459)". The record is from RNAcentral. Lineage: Eukaryota; Viridiplantae; Streptophyta; Magnoliopsida; Rosales; Rosaceae.